RNAcentral lists this ribosomal RNA (433 nucleotides) under uncultured bacterium. RNAcentral's name for it is "partial 16S ribosomal RNA". It matches the Rfam family "Bacterial small subunit ribosomal RNA", at positions 29 to 506 of the family's 1533-position model. The record is from RNAcentral.
AGCUAACGCUGGCGGCAGGCCUAACACAUGCAAGUCGAACGAACCUUUCGGGGUUAGUGGCGGACGGGUGAGUAACACGUGGGAACGUGCCUUUAGGUUCGGAAUAACUCAGGGAAACUUGUGCUAAUACCGAAUGUGCCCUUCGGGGGAAAGAUUAAUCGCCUUUAGAGCGGCCCGCGUCUGAUUAGCUAGUUGGUUGAGGUAAUGGCUCACCAAGGCGACGAUCAGUAGCUGGUCUGAGAGGAUGAUCAGCCACAUUGGGACUGAGACACGGCCCAAACUCCUACGGGAGGCAGCAGUGGGGAAUCUUGCGCAAUGGGCGAAAGCCUGACGCAGCCAUGCCGCGUGAAUGAUGAAGGUCUUAGGAUUGUAAAAUUCUUUCACCGGGGACGAUAAUGACGGUACCCGGAGAAGAAGCCCCGGCUAACUUCGU